Non-coding RNA from Onychomys torridus (southern grasshopper mouse), 372 nucleotides. Lineage: Eukaryota; Metazoa; Chordata; Mammalia; Rodentia; Cricetidae. The record is from the annotation of a RefSeq genome assembly.
AUGGAGUUGAGACAGAGCUGGGUUUUUCUUGUUAUUCUUUUAAAAGGUGUCCAGUGUGAGGUGCAGCAGGUGGAGUUUGGGGGAGGCUUAGUGCAGCCUGGAAAGUCCCUGAAACUCUCCUGUGCAGCCUCUGGAUUCACAUUCAGUGAUGCCUGGACGAACAGGGUCUGCCAGGCUCCAGGGAAGGAACUGGACUGGGUUGCUCAAAUUGAACCAAAAAGUUAUAAUUAUGCAACACACUGUGUGAAAGGCAAAUUCAUCAUCUCAAGAGAUGAUUCCCAAAGCAGCCUCUACCUGCAAAUGAACAGCUUAAGAGCCAAAGACACCUCCAUUUAUUACUGUAUUGCAGACACAGUGAGAGACCUUCAGUGA